CCUACGGGAGGCAGCAGUGGGGAAUAUUGGACAAUGGGCGCAAGCCUGAUCCAGCCAUGCCGCGUGAGUGACGAAGGUCUUCGGAUUGUAAAGCUCUUUUGGCGGGGAAGCGGUACCCGCAGAAUAAGCCCCGGCUAACUUCGUGCCAGCAGCCGCGGUAAUACGAAGGGGGCUAGCGUUGUUCGGAAUCACUGGGCGUAAAGCGCACGUAGGCGGAUGUGCCAGUCAGGGGUGAAAUCCCGGAGCUCAACUUCGGAACUGCCUCUGAUACAGCACGUCUCGAGUCCGGAAGAGGUGGGUGGAAUUCCUAGUGUAGAGGUGAAAUUCGUAGAUAUUAGGAAGAACACCGGUGGCGAAGGCGGCCCACUGGUCCGGACUGACGCUGAGGUGCGAAGCGUGGGGAGCAACAGGAUUAGAUACCCUUGUAGUC
This 430-nucleotide ribosomal RNA is filed under the name uncultured bacterium. RNAcentral's name for it is "partial 16S ribosomal RNA". It matches the Rfam family "Bacterial small subunit ribosomal RNA", at positions 338 to 795 of the family's 1533-position model. The record is from RNAcentral.